GAUGAACGCUGGCGGCGUGCUUAACACAUGCAAGUCGAACGAAGCAUUUGCGACAGAUUUUUUCGGAAUGAAGUUGCUUAUGACUGAGUGGCGGACGGGUGAGUAACGCGUGGGUAACCUGCCUUGUACUGGGGGAUAGCAGCUGGAAACGGCUGGUAAUACCGCAUAAGCGCACAAUGUUGCAUGACAUGGUAUGAAAAACUCCGGUGGUAUAAGAUGGACCCGCGUCUGAUUAGCUAGUUGGUGAGAUAACAGCCCACCAAGGCGACGAUCAGUAGCCGACCGGAGAGGGUGACCGGCCACAUUGGGACUGAGACACGGCCCAGACUCCUACGGGAGGCAGCAGUGGGGAAUAUUGCACAAUGGAGGAAACUCUGAUGCAGCGACGCCGCGUGAGUGAAGAAGUAAUUCGUUAUGUAAAGCUCUAUCAGCAGGGAAGAUAGUGACGGUACCUGACUAAGAAGCUCCGGCUAAAUACGUG
Molecule: ribosomal RNA, 481 nt
Filed under: uncultured bacterium
Lineage: Bacteria
Description: partial 16S ribosomal RNA
Rfam family: Bacterial small subunit ribosomal RNA
Source: RNAcentral